Molecule: non-coding RNA, 507 nt
Organism: Neoarius graeffei (lesser salmon catfish)
Lineage: Eukaryota; Metazoa; Chordata; Actinopteri; Siluriformes; Ariidae
Source: the annotation of a RefSeq genome assembly
AUCAUGUUCACUGUUAUAUUCCUGUGUCUGUGGCUUUCACUGAGUGACUCCAUGGCAGAUUCAAUAGAGCCACUUUUCACUCAGAAAGUUGUUGAUGAAGGUGAUGAUGUUACUCUGUCCUGCAGCUACAAAUUCAGUGUUUCAGGAAGCAACUACCUGCAGUGGUACAGGCAAUAUCCAAAAUCUAAACCCAAGUUCCUUCUUUAUAUUUCUCCAACUGGACUUCGAAGUCCUGACCUCCCCCCACGAAUGACUGCUAAAGUUCAGGAAAAUAACCAAGUGGAUCUGCUCAUCUCCUCUGCUGCUGUAUCAGACUCUGCACUAUACUACUGUGCUCUGGAGCCCACAGUGACAGGAAAUCCAACUGCACUGUACAAAAACCUUCACAGUUUUAUUCCUUUGAAAGCAUGUUGCCAGGAGACGCUUCAGAUCCACCACAACCCUGGACAGGAUAAAGCAGUUCCUGAAGAUAAAUGGAUGUUUUGGAACUCAGUUGUGGAAAUGUGA